This 492-nucleotide ribosomal RNA is filed under the name uncultured bacterium. RNAcentral describes it as "partial 16S ribosomal RNA". It matches the Rfam family "Bacterial small subunit ribosomal RNA", at positions 29 to 507 of the family's 1533-position model. The record is from RNAcentral.
AGUGAACGCUGGCGGUAGGCCUAACACAUGCAAGUCGAACGGCAGCACAGUAAGCGCUUGCUCUUACGGGUGGCGAGUGGCGGACGGGUGAGGAAUACAUCGGAAUCUACUUUUUCGUGGGGGAUAACGUAGGGAAACUUACGCUAAUACCGCAUACGACCUACGGGUGAAAGCAGGGGAUCUUCGGACCUUGCGCGAUUGAAUGAGCCGAUGUCGGAUUAGCUAGUUGGCGGGGUAAGGGCCCACCAAGGCGACGAUCCGUAGCUGGUCUGAGAGGAUGAUCGGCGACACUGGAACGGAGACACGGUCCAGACUCCUACGGGAGGCAGCAGUGGGGAAUAUUGGACAAUGGGCGCAAGCCUGAUCCAGCCAUACCGCGUGGGGGAAGAAGGCCUUCGGGUGGUAAAGCCCUUUUGUUGGGAAAGAAAAGCAGCAGGUUAAUACCCCGCUGUGCUGACGGUACCCAAAGAAUAAGCACCGGCUAACUUCGUG